This 519-nucleotide ribosomal RNA is filed under the name uncultured Pseudomonadaceae bacterium. Its description in RNAcentral is "SSU rRNA". It matches the Rfam family "Bacterial small subunit ribosomal RNA", at positions 31 to 543 of the family's 1533-position model. The record is from RNAcentral. Lineage: Bacteria; Pseudomonadati; Pseudomonadota; Gammaproteobacteria; Pseudomonadales; Pseudomonadaceae.
GAACGCUGGCGGCAGGCCUAACACAUGCAAGUCGAGCGGAUGAAGGGAGCUUGCUCCUGGAUUCAGCGGCGGACGGGUGAGUAAUGCCUAGGAAUCUGCCUGGUAGUGGGGGAUAACGUCCGGAAACGGGCGCUAAUACCGCAUACGUCCUGAGGGAGAAAGUGGGGGAUCUUCGGACCUCACGCUAUCAGAUGAGCCUAGGUCGGAUUAGCUAGUUGGUGGGGUAAAGGCCUACCAAGGCGACGAUCCGUAACUGGUCUGAGAGGAUGAUCAGUCACACUGGAACUGAGACACGGUCCAGACUCCUACGGGAGGCAGCAGUGGGGAAUAUUGGACAAUGGGCGAAAGCCUGAUCCAGCCAUGCCGCGUGUGUGAAGAAGGUCUUCGGAUUGUAAAGCACUUUAAGUUGGGAGGAAGGGCAGUAAGUUAAUACCUUGCUGUUUUGACGUUACCAACAGAAUAAGCACCGGCUAACUUCGUGCCAGCAGCCGCGGUAAUACGAAGGGUGCAAGCGUUAAU